AUGAAAACUUUGACCAACAGAAAGGUACUUGGAUUGAAAGUGAGCUGUACUUCAUGCAUCACUACACUAUUGAUAUUAGACAAUGGAUCUAUUUUUGCAUGUACAAUUUUGCUGACAUGUUGCUACUGCAACUGCAACUUUAUUGUGCAUGAUUCAUCUGCAUGUUAUUCCAAAAAAAUGUGGAAAAAAAAAAAAACAGUUUUCAGAGGUGGCAACCAACAACAACUCUUUAGCAACUUUUGCACAAGAAAAUCACUCACGUUCCAGUAGAAAACAUGAAAUUCCAUUUGGUGUCACAUGUGGCACAUAAAUUACACUUCACCCUUAAGAAUAUGCAAAUGAUUCAUCAAAAACACACAGAUGUGUUGCCUUGAACUGAAGCCAGAACUGAGAGACAAUCUGUCUCACUUCUAAUAGCGCUGCAAUUGUGUGAAUCCACUCAAGAACCGAAGAGUGUGGUAACCUGAUUGAAGAGCUCUUAGGAACAUUACAGGACACUCUUUAGGUCAAACAAAGAGCUUGCCACGUAUGACGCAUUACAGUGUCUCAUACAAGGGUAAUUUUAAAGUCCAAAUUUAUCUGACUUGGAUUUAAUCAACAGUAUUUAAAUGGAACCGUAGGGUGAGGUGAAAAUCCAAUUCAUUUUCAGGUUUUUAGAUAUGAUAUAAAGCUUUUAAGACAGAAUUUUCAUUUCAGCCUGUUAUUUUUAUAACACCUUUUUUCCUCAAAAUACCAGUGGAGAAAAUGAAUGAGAAAAAUACAUGUCCAAAAUAGGGGGGGAAGCGGGAAGUCGCUGUUAUGUUCUGUUGUAAAAAAGAGUAUCAGUACUAAAUAGUGGUAGUGCUGUGGAUCCAAUACAGGGGAUGACAUGAAGAAAUGACGUGAGCUUAUAUCUUACAUGUUCACCAUCUGACUUAAUAACAAUAGAAAUUAAAACUUGAGGGCUUGAACACUGCCAUGCAACUGCUCCCAUUGGAAAACAUCCACAAACACAUCUACUAUAAACAUGCCAAAAAUCUGUGCACAUAUUUAAUAGAAGAAUAAUCAUCUGAACACUUUCUGAACAUAAACACUGUAUGGAGAAAUUCCAUAUUUCCUGGGGGAUGUCCUAUUAAACAAUUUUAUACUUUACUAAACAAUAUCCACAAUGCACCAUGAAGUGUUGCAAAUCAAAAAUGUAAUCUAUUAAAGUGCACACAUACGAAAAUACACUAUGUUCCCUAACCUGAGAUUGAAACUAAAAUGGCACUAGUGGGCAGCGUUAAUGUCC
Molecule: long non-coding RNA, 1270 nt
Organism: Cyprinus carpio (common carp)
Lineage: Eukaryota; Metazoa; Chordata; Actinopteri; Cypriniformes; Cyprinidae
Source: Ensembl